This 497-nucleotide ribosomal RNA is filed under the name uncultured bacterium. Its description in RNAcentral is "bacterial SSU rRNA". It matches the Rfam family "Bacterial small subunit ribosomal RNA", at positions 900 to 1398 of the family's 1533-position model. The record is from RNAcentral.
CUCAAAGGAAUUGACGGGGGCCCGCACAAGCGGCGGAGCAUGUUGCUUAAUUCGACGCGACGCGAAGAACCUUACCAAGGUUUGACAUGCAGGGAAAAGCCGUAGAGAUACGGUGUCCGUAAGGGUCCUGCACAGGUGGUGCAUGGCUGUCGUCAGCUCGUGUCGUGAGAUGUUGGGUUAAGUCCCGCAACGAGCGCAACCCUCGUCCUAUGUUGCCAGCGGAUUAUGCCGGGGACUCAUAGGAGACUGCCGGGGUCAACUCGGAGGAAGGUGGGGAUGACGUCAAGUCAUCAUGCCCCUUAUGUCUUGGGCUGCAAACAUGCUACAAUGGCCGGUACAGAGGGCUGCGAGACCGCAAGGUGGAGCGAAUCUCAAAAAGCCGGUCUCAGUUCGGAUUGGGGUCUGCAACUCGACCCCAUGAAGUCGGAGUCGCUAGUAAUCGCAGAUCAGCAACGCUGCGGUGAAUACGUUCCCGGGCCUUGUACUCACCGCCCGUC